UGGGGAAUCUUCCGCAAUGGACGAAAGUCUGACGGAGCAACGCCGCGUGAGUGAAGACGGCCUUCGGGUUGUAAAGCUCUGUGAUCCGGGACGAAAGAGCCUGAGGUGAAUAGCCUAAGGAAGUGACGGUACCGGAAAAGCAAGCCACGGCUAACUACGUGCCAGCAGCCGCGGUAAUACGUAGGUGGCAAGCGUUGUCCGGAAUUAUUGGGCGUAAAGCGCGCGCAGGCGGCUUCCUAAGUCCAUCUUAAAAGUGCGGGGCUUAACCCCGUGAUGGGAUGGAAACUGGGAAGCUGGGGUAUCGGAGAGGAAAGUGGAAUUCCUAGUGUAGCGGUGAAAUGCGUAGAGAUUAGGAAGAACACCGGUGGCGAAGGCGACUUUCUGGACGAAAACUGACGCUGAGGCGCGAAAGCGUGGGGAGCAAACAGG
This 429-nucleotide ribosomal RNA is filed under the name Fusobacteriota bacterium. Its description in RNAcentral is "Fusobacteria bacterium partial 16S ribosomal RNA". It matches the Rfam family "Bacterial small subunit ribosomal RNA", at positions 355 to 776 of the family's 1533-position model. The record is from RNAcentral. Lineage: Bacteria; Fusobacteriati; Fusobacteriota.